UUGGGACAAGAAGCGAAGAAACAGAGAAGGAGACAUAAAAAAGGAGGAAAAAGAAGGAAUAUGUGUUGGCUUUUAAGUUUUCAUUCAUCAAUUCUCCUUAUUUUCAAGAGGUAAGUAAAAAUUAUGUUAAUUGAAUUUUUAUGGUUUAUGGAAAAUUGCUCAUAUUUGAAGUUUAGCAAGAAUUAAUAAUUAUGGAUAUGUAUUUGAGGUAUUUAACAAUAAGAGUAAUAUAUAGUGGAAGAUUAGUGUUGUAGUGCAAGAAAUAUGAAAUGGGUUUGUAAAUUAGAGCUUGAAUUUUUUAUUUAUUGAGUGUAUCUGAUAUAAUACACUUGAUAUAUGAUGUAUUUCAAUGAGAUAUGGAGUUGAGGUUGAAUUUUGAUAUUUUUAAUCAAUUUUCGUGCAAAAUUCAUGUACAAGUGCUAUUUUUGAAAUUAAUCCCAGAAAGUGCUAUUCUUGUCAAUAGUUUCAGUGAUAGUUUUCAAUAUGCAAAAAUAGAUGUCAAACUUCAGUACUCUGGGAUUUUAGUAAUGUUUUUGUCAAAAACCUUUAUUUUCUAAGAUUUACAAGUUUGAAUGAAACUAAAUGAUAAAUAUUGAAGCCUAGGUAUUGGAUUAAAUCAUGUAUGGGGGUUGUAUAAGUAUAAAGGUAGUAGUUUUAAGAAAGUAUUGAUAAUCUAAUGGAUUAGAUUAUGUGCGGUAAUUGACUGCUUAUAAUCAAAGAUAAGUUAGGGAGAUUGAGAUGCAAGAAUAAAUAUAGUAGUUGAGGAAUUACACGGUGGAUUUAAAUUAAUUUAAUUGUCAUGUUUUAUUUGGGUUAUUAUACCGUUAUUUCAGAUAGUGACGUGAAAAUUUGGAAAUGUUCAUCAAUAUAACCAGAUUGCUAUCCAUAGAUCCGCGAGUGGAAAAACUUAAAUAUUUUCAAGUAUUGAUAAAUUGAUUAUACUAUUACGUAACAUGGGAUUAUGUGAAUUAUUUCAGUUACAUGAUUAUUAACAAAUGUUCCCUCACUACGAUAUGUGUGGAAUUAGGAAUGUGCCUUUGGUGAUCGUGGGAGGUUUGAUCACUUGCUUGUGCCGUUGUGAUAUGGUGAUUUUACUAUCUAGGGUGGGAUACUUCUUGACUAAUCAUGGGAGCUGUUAGGGGUUGUACCUCUUGUGAUCACAGGAGGAUGGUCCACUCGAUUGUGAAAUUGUGUUUAUUAGCAUCUCGGGUAGGAUACUUCUUGGGUGAUUAUGAUGGCUAUCAGGGGAUUUGUCUUUGAUAAUCACAGGAGGAUUGGCCACUCGACUAUGCCCAGUUGGUUAUUGAAUAUUGAUAUUGAUAUUAUGUAAAACUCUAUCCGGUAUCUAGUAGGUGUGUCAAGGGCCCAAUAAAAAUGAAAGUUUCAAAUGAAAAUAUUUCGAGUUUACAUUGAUGAUCUUAUCAUGUUUGCGAGAUGUUAUUUUUCAAUAUUACAAGAAUGAUUCCUAUCUCAAUUAUUAUUAAAUAAUGUUAUAUCGUGACUUGUUAAAUAAUAUAGACUCGAUUUUGAUACAAAAGUAUAAGUCCCCGUUUGGUAAUAUUUUUUCACCCAAAAAAUCAAUUUUUUGACCACUAUUUCAUUAUUUUAACCGUCAUUUUUUACUUCUUCCCUCAAAGGCAAGACCAACUUUUCUCUUUAAGGGUCAAAAAAUAAAUUCUCGUAAUCACUAUUGAACAGCUCGAACGUCUCCACCCACUGAGGAAUCAAAUUAUAUAUUCUCCCAUGAUUUUUCCUACAGGCAACAAUUGAUUUUUGAUAGCUUGAGGAGUUUGAUCAUUUUGGAGUUAGAACUACAUGACAUAUUGAGUGAUAUGAGUCAUUUGGAUUAAACAUGAAAUAAUUAUUUUGGAUCAUCGCAUUAUUCUUUUUAUAAGCAUUCGAUUUUGCUGCAUGUUUUAUAGUAACUCAUAUUAAUCCUUGGUGAUGGAUCUUGCAUCUAGUCAGCAUUUAUCAUCGGCACACAUCAUGUUUCAGAUCCACAAUGGUGAUUUGAGAUGGGUUAUGUCAUUUCUCAUCCUCAUCAUCAAAGAUUUACUUCUGUAUAAUCUUCUCGGCUCAGUGAAAGAGAACAUUCAUGUAUAAAGAACACGUGAGUUCGACAAAAAUGGCAUGUAGGCAAAUUUUUGGUAUAUAUGUUAAGUCACUUGAUCAUGAGUUGAUAUGAAUCGAACUUGAAAAAUCUUUACUCACUACUCGUUCACGAAUAAAUUGAUAAUCAAGUUCUAUAUGUUUAGCACGUGCAUUAAAUAUUGGAUUUAGAGAAAGAUGUAUGGCACUGAUAUUGUCACACCAAAAAGUUGUCGGUUUAUCCAAACCAAACCAAUUUCUUUUAAAAAAGAAGACAACUAAAUAUCCUCAGCCAUAGCAUUUGCCAAGGCCUUAUAUUUACCUUCAGUUGAGGAUCUAGUAAUGGUGAAUUAUUUCUUUGCGGUCCAUGAGACUAAAUUAUUUCCAAGAAAAAUUCCAUACCCACUUGUAGAUACUCUAUCAUUGGGGCAUCGUACCCAAUUACUGUCAGCAAAUCAAUGUAAUUUGUUAGGUCCAAAUGGAAUUGGCUAUUUCCAUGUUCAAAUCAUAGUGUUAUUGAACUCUAAUUAAAGUCAAAAGAGUCGAGGAUUGGUAGUAUAGGUCUUAAAGGAGUCAAAGGAAAAAUAGCCUAAAAAACUCUUGCCAACCAUGCGGAUGGAACUCGAGCAGAAAAAAAGCAAGAGUUUUACCAUUUGUGUAAAAACGAAAGAAAUCCAAAGUUUUAGAACCAAAGUGUCAACAUUCAACAGUUGAUUGGACCAUAAAAUGAUAAUUGAAGAUACAUAUGAUCAAUUGGAUGCAACUUGAAGUCAAAUGAGUGAAUAAUAAUUGAAGUAUUUUCACAAAUCAAUUUCCAGUCAAACAAGUUAUGCUCUGAAGUUUUAUGAUCAAAUUGAGGCCCAUUUUAUGGAUAGCAAACAAUUGAAUUGGAAACACUUUAUUUCUAGAAAAUUUUUAUUUCUUUCGGUUGUCUUUCCGACAUACUUUGAAUUAUCUCAAUCGUAUAUUGGAAGAGAAGUUACGAUUAAAAUAUUAAAAGCUAUUUAGGGACAAAGUCCGCAAACUUGCACGCACGCAAGACACAAAAUUUUGGCUCGGGACCCAUUUGAAUCGAUGGUACGUGCAUGGAGGUUAUGCCUGUAUGCAAGCGUGGGCGAUUUUCGCAGUUGAAUUAGCAAAUUUCUUUCUCAAUUCAAACUAUUUUGGAACUCAAACAAGACGCAAUUUUGACCUAUUUUCUAGCUCUUAUAAGUACAAAACAGGGGUCAUGCAUGGAAUAAAGCUCUUUCUCACCUCUUCAUACUCAAUAAUAUCAUAAAAUCAUCAAGCACAAGAGAUCAAUUCAUCACUCUAGAGAAAGAAGAUCAAACCCUAGCAAGGAAAUGAAGCUCAAUUACAUCAUGAUUUUGAAUAAUUCAAUCGUAGACCUGUAGAUCAACAUCGUUUGAACUCUUUCAUGAUCCAGGUGAUAUUUUUCCAUUAUUCUUCUAGUAAUUUAUAUAUUAGUAUGCUAGGAUAGAUCCUCUUUUAUAUUGGAUGAAGAUUAACCCUAUUCUUUAUUUAUUUCUAAUUCAAAAUGUUUAGUUUAGUAUUUCUUGAGUUUCUUGACUAAUUUUGCAUAUCCAUUGCAUUAUUUAAUUAUUUGGCCAUCAAUCAGAUAAUUAGUAGCUUGUUGUAAUGUUAGAGACUCACAAAAAUUAAAACGCGGCAAAAUUAACAUAUGUUCAAUAGAUGUUAGGAAUAAUAUCUAUCACACAUGCAAUCAUAUAGAUAAUCUAAACUUUAUAGCAUUAUAGUCAAUUGAAUUUGGGCUAGGAAUAAGUUCGGGACGUGGUUAGGAUAGAUCUAAUUUGCCUUGGAAAAGAAAAUUAUAUAUUAUAGUUUUAUUGAUUGUCACGAAUGCAUGAACGAAACUAGAUUAUAAAUCAAGAAUUGAAAUAGAUAGUAAUGGGUGGAAUCUAGAUCCAACAUAAUCGUACAUAUUUGAUAGAAAUACUACUUAGAUUAACUUAGAAAAAUUGCAAAAUCAAAUUCUCUUUUGUUUUAUAAAAUUCGAAUUCCAUACAUAAUUUGUAAUCUCGAACUUAAAUUUAUUCCCCAUGGGACAAUACUCUCAACUGGCUCAAAUCUAUUACUUGUCAACGAUCCCGUAAGCUUGCGAAUUUUACACUAACGAGUUUUUGGCACCGUUGCAGGGAAUAACGUAUCUACUUUGUAUUUAUUAGGUUUUAUAGAAUUUGAAUUUUCUUUUACGUUGUUUUCAGCUAUUAAUUAUACAUAUAAUUUCUCCUUUUUGUUUUUUGGCAGUUUAUUUAAGAUUCUAGAGAAAUCAAGCUCCUACCAUUGGAUCUCGAAAAUCAAAAGAACUUUCAAACAACGAAAAAUCGAACAGAGAGAAACUAGAAAAAUAACAGAAGAUCAAAAUUAAAUUUAAUCACCACCAGAUCCGCCAAGAGUAGCUGCUAAUCAUGGAGAAGCUUUCGGGGAUUAUAUGAAUCUCAUCCGAACUCAUGCACAAUCGACUAUUAUCUAUCCUCCUUUUUGACAGCUAACUUCCAAACUCUACCAGAUGUCAUUAAUUUGUUUCAAAAUCAUUAGGACAUCAGGUUCUCUAAAAGAUCAACUGAAAGUCCCCACGAACAUGUUCAGGCCUUCUUGAUGCUUUGCGAUAUGAUUAGUUAUGAAGGCAUGUCUGUUGACGCUUUUCGACUGUGCUAAUUCCCUUAUACAUUAAAGGAAGACGCAUGAGAAUGGCUAAACUCACUUAAUCCUGGGAGUAUCAUUUCAUGGAAUGACAUGGUGCAGAAAUUCACUCAGAAAUUCUUCUGGCCUUCUUGAGUCCAUCAGAUCUGAAAUGAAGUCCAUAUUUUUAAGCAAAUGGACCUCGAGAGCUGUCCAGAAGCAUAUGAAAGAUUCAAAAAUCACUUCAAAAAGUGCCCCAAUCUGAACAUUUCUAAGGACUCUAAGAUCUACAUAUUCUAACUAAGCCUAAGACUUGAAUUCUGCAACAUAGCCGAUACUUCAACAUGAGGGUCAAUCUUGAAUAUUCUCUUGGACAAUGCCUUAGGCCUUUUUUGAAAAAUCAGUCUAUUUGCCUAUAGAUCGGGAAGCGUCAAAUAAAAUAGCAUGGAUUUACAACAAUAAUGUAGUGAUAGCUAUGAUUGGACAAACUAACUCAGAAUGUAAGCAUGGUGCACCAACCAACGCCAGUUUGUGGAGGAAGUAGGAUAGAUCAUAUAACUACAAAUUGUCCGUUACCCUCCACCUAUUUUAUCAGCUUGAGGAGGUCAGUUAUGUAGGGAACCUUCAGAGAAAACAAACAAUCCUUACUCCAACACCUAUAAUCUAAUUUGAAGCAAGCAUCCGAACUUCUCAUGGGUAAAUAAUCAAGGUCAAGGAUAUUAGAUUUAGGGCAACUUACUAGGAUUUUAGCAACAAUAAGAGAAGAGGUCAUCAUUGGAAGAAUUAGUGGCUCUGUUCAUCACCAAAAAUAAGACUAAUUUUCAAAAUUUGUAGGCUACAAUUAAAAAUUUAGAAACUCGAAUGGAUAGAUAGUAGCUGUAUUGGCCAAUAGAACACAGAGUAUACUGCGAAGCGACACCUAAAAGAACCAAAGAGAACACGUAUUAGUAGUUAAAGCUGCGAAUCAUACAAUUAUUAAUACACCAUCAUACAAACCCGUUAUCCUUGUUCGUACUUAUGUACCGCGUACUCCAUUCUCUCAAAAGCUUCAAAAAUAACCUAAAGAGGAACAAGUUUAGGCCAUCACAAUGAGAAUGGGAGUUCGACUGCCAAAAAUCACGGGAAAGAAAAAAGUGAUAGAGGAGAAUCAAAUAUCUACCAUUGGUGAGAAAAAAGUAGUUCAACUUGAAGGCUCAGCAAAUGUUAGUCAAGAAAAAUAAUAAGACAGUCCACAGGUUAGGGAACUGCUUCUGUUAAUAAAUAUGCACCUUCAAUCAUAUUCUAUCAAAGGUUACAUAACAAAAAGUUGGAAAAGCAAUAUAAGAAGUUCUUGGAUAUCCUUAGACAACUUCACAUUAACAUUUGUUUCAUUUUCGCCAUUCAAAAGAUUCCAAACUAAACAAAGUUUUCUGAAAGAUAUGUUGACUAAGAAAAAGAAGUUUCUACUAGAUGAAACAUUGAUAUUAACUAAAGAGUGCAGUGUAAUCAUAAAGGAGAUGCUCCCUCUGAACUAAAAGAUCCAAGGAGUUUCACUAUAACUUACUCUUUAGGAAAUUUUCAUAACUUAAAUGUUUUAAUUGAUUCUAGAGCAAGUAUUAAUCUAAUGUCACUGUCUAUCUAUAGGAAAUUAGGAUUGGAUGAUUUAAAAGCUACAUCAAUGAUCCUACAGCUGGUUGACAGGUAUUUAAGCAUCAUUAUGGAAUGGUAGAGGAUAUGCUCAAGUUGGAGAUAAUUUUUUUGUUGCUAAUUUCAUCUUCCUUAAUAUAGAUGCUCAUCAUAUGCUAUUAAUCUUGGGGGAGAUUAUUCUUAGCAACAGCACGAGCAUUAAUGGUUUUGAGAAUGGUGAGUUAAUCAUAAGAAUGAAAGGAACUCAAGCAACCACUUAACAUAGAGGAACGUUGAAAGAUCGAACAUUAGGAAAGCAACAAGAACAAGAAAGAAGAAGGUGGAAUUAUAAUAUGGAGGUUCAAAGAUGAACUAAUGAACAACUAUCAUUACAACCAAUGCAAGGCUAAAAACUCUUUUUUCAAGUCAUCAUGAAUAGCCAAGAUAUCAAAAUCAAGCUAAUGACUAUAAAUAAAUACUUAUCGGGAGACAACCCAAUGUUCAUCCCUUUCAUUUAUUUUGCCUUUUUAGAUAUAGGAUUCGUACUUUUUAUUGAUUUUAGUAAUAUAAAUAUCUUCAUUGCCAUAUUUCCUUUUAGGAUGUGUUUGAACUUAUUAUAAAACGUUCAACGUUAUUGUUAAUUUUCUAAUUAUUUUGAAGGAACAUAACACCUAAACACAUUGGACAAGGAAUGAUACAUAAACAAGUGAUCCAGCACUUUUAAUGCCACUCCAUCCAUCACCUACAGAUUUAUACUGGGAGAGUACUUAGUUCCCUUCUUUGCCCUUAAUUUUUGUAUAUUACUUGUUUUAUUUAUAGACAUUGACAGCAAUGUCUAUUAUAAGUUUGGAGGUGAAAAAAUAUGGAAUUUUUAUUUAUUUUUAUUGUUUUAUGUGUUUGUUCGAGUGCAAAAAAAUCCAAAAUAGUAAUUUAUUUUCAGCUUAUUUUUCGUUUUCUGUGCUUGUGUGGAUUCGAUAAAUUUGGUUACUGUGAUGAAUACAUUUGGAACCAUGUGUUAGACUAUAAAUUGUGAAAAAUUGACAAGUUAGGGUUGAUUUAUAAACUUGAUAUUUUUUGGCACAAGAUUUAUGUUUUGCAUAUUUCGAUUCAAAUUUGAAUAGGCUGAAAAAAUAUAGUGGACCUUAGAUGCUAAAUCCAAACAACCACUAAAUUAUACAUUCUUAAAUCAAAUUUAGAAUAGUUUGGUUGUUGUAGGGAGACGUUGAGAUAAAUGUACAUUUCAUGUGUGCUAAAUUUUGAGCAGAUUGUCUAAGGCCAAUAAGAUGAAAAUUAGGUGAAAAUCUUACCUUAGGGUCAUUUUUUGCAAAUAGGAUAAAAGAUAAGUCUAACUAUUAAGGGUCAGGAUUUGAAUCUCUCUAUGAAUUUAUAAUGCUUAACGUGAAUUUUCACACACACGUUGAUUUUGCAUUACAUAAGUAGAAAUUAAUUUUAGCAUUGUGAUUUUGUAGCAUGUCAUUAUCUUAAUACAUAUAUUCCAUUCUUGAGAACAAAAGUAAGUUAUCUAACCAUUUGUUUUUAAAAAUUUUGGUUAAGGAGGAUAUGGUUUUGUUUGAGAACAAACAAAUGUUCAAGUUUGGGGUGUUAGAUAAGUUUUUUUGUACACUUAUCUAGGCCAUUUAAACUGGAACAUUUGCUAGUGAUUUGGAUAACUUAUAGCUUAAUUAUGUAUUAGUUAUGUUAGUUACAUUGAAUUCAAUACAAAUUGGUGGAAUCGGAAGAAAGGAACAAAAAAAAGUAAAAGAAAGAAAUUCAAAGUUGGGGAACCGAAGUGUAUACAUUCAGUAGUUGAUUUGGAUCAUAAAAUGAUGAUUAAAGAUCAGAUAUGAUCAAUUGAAUGCAAUUUAAAGUCAAAUAAAUGAAAUAUAGUUGAAAUAUUUUCACAAAUCAAUUUUCAGCUGAAGAAGUUAUACUCUGAAUUUUUAGCAUCAAAUUAGGACCCAUGUUUCAGAUAGCAAACAUUUGAAUCGGAAAAAUUGUACUUCUAUAAGAAUUAUAGCCCUUUUGGUCCUUUUUCAAAUGUACUCUGAAUGAUCUCAAUCAGAUACUGAAAGAGAAAAUUAUGAGUAGAAUACCAAAAGACACUUAGGGAGGAACUCUGAGAACCUACGUGGCAAAAAAUUUUUGACCCGAGAUCCAUUGGGAUCAAUGGUGCACUCACAAUGGUUAUGCUUAUGUGCGUGCAUGGGCCAUUUUCGCAGAUGAAUCUGUAGUUUUCUUUCGCGAUACAAAACAAGGGCUAUGCAUGGAAAAAAAACUCUCUCCUGCUUCAUUAUACUCAAUAAUAUCCUAAAAUCAUUAAGAACAAGAGGUCAAUUCAUCACUCUUGAGAUGGGAAAUCAAACCUUAGUAAGGAAUUGAAUCUCAAUUAUAUCAAGAUUUUGAAGAAUUCAACUUUGGACUUAAAGAUCAAUAUCUUUUGAACUCUUUCAUGAUUCGGAUUAUAUUUUUCUAUUAUUUUUAUUGUAAUUUAUAUAUCAAUAUGUUAGACUAGAUCCACUUGUGUAUUGGAUGAAGAUGAACACUAUUUGUGAUUAAUUUCUAAUUCAAGACAAGUAGUUUAGUAUUUUUUACGUUUCCUGAUUAAUUUUGCAUACCUAUUGUAUUAUUUAAUUGUUUAGCCACCAAUUAGAUAAUUAGUUGCUUAUUAUAGUUAGAGACUCACAAUAAGUUUAGAACGCAGCAAAAUUAACAUAUCUGCAAUAGAUGUUAGGAAUAACAUUUAUCACAUGUGCAAUCAUAUAGAUAAUCUAAAAUUUAAUGCAUUCUAACCAUUUGAAUUCAGGUUAGGAAGAGAUUUGGGUCAUGGUUAGGAUAUACUUAAUUUGUCUUGGAAAAGAAAAUUAUGUAUCAUAGUUUUAUUGCUUGUCAAUAACGAAUGAACGGAAUUAGAUUAUAAAUCAAUAAUUGGUUAAGCCUUUAUUCAUUCAAAAGAACAUCCUACAAAGAUCAAACAUCAAUUCAAUCAUUGUUUUGAUUCAACUAAAAGAUCAAACACAAAAAAAUCAUUACAUUUACCAAUAAGCCUUCGGAGUUCUGAAGUGUAUAUGAGAUAGCUAGAGUUUCAAUUGUGUAAGAAUGAAUUUGUUCCAGGUAAUCCAUAACAGAGAGAAAAGAAGUCUAGAGUUACUAGAAAGUGCAGGUUGCAGAAUAAAAAAGAGGUUCUUUGGUAAUUUACAACAAAGCUUAAUAUCGAUACGUGAUCCAACUAAAUAAGUCAAUCACUUUUCAUUCCUCCUCAUUUUGAAAAUAGCAAUUAUGCCUAUUGAAAUGUUAGAAUGAGAGAUUUUUUGAAGUCAAUGGAUGAAUGUGUUUGAGUUAUUGUAAAAAAUGGUUGGAUAGUCCCACCUACAUCAGUUGCUGGUGUAGUUAUUCCUAUCGUUAUCUCUACUUGGACUAAGGAUAAUUUAGCCGAGUGUAAUUGGAAUAAUAGAGAUGUCUAUGCCAUAUUUAUGGCUAUUUCCCUCGAAGAGUUUAAGUGUGUCUCCAUGUGCGAACUACUAAAGAUCUUUGUGAUAUUUUAGAAACCAUACAUGAGGAAACUAAAACCAUGAAAAACUCCAAACUUCAAAUGUUGACUAGUAGCUUUGAAGAAAUUAGGAUGAACAAUGAUAAAUCGAUUGAUGAGUUCUAUGUAAAACUAAAUGAUAUAGUAAACUCUAGUUUCAAUCUAGGUGAGCGAAUCUCCAAGGCUAAGAUUGUGAGGAAAGCUAUGACAUCUUUACCUGCAGAUUUGGACCUAAGGUCACAGCAUUUGAGGAAAGUAAAGACAUAAAUGCUAUUAAGAUAGAAGAACUUGUAGAAUCUCUCCAAACAUAUGAACUUAGCCUAUCUCAGUCUAAGAAAAACAAGUCUUCAGCCUUAAAUGCUAUUGAGGAAUAAACUAGUAAUCAAAUUGAUGAUGACACCGAUGAUGAGUUUGCCAAUCUUGGUAAAAAAUUUAAGAAAUUUUGAGAUUUUUUGAUAGUUUAAAUGUGAUUCUAGUAAAAACAGGAACGAUAAAAGAGAGAAGAGAUAUAGCAGGGAUGCUUGGAAGAAUUCCCAAUUUGUGAGUAGUCACAAGUGCCAAGGUUUUGGACAUGUUAAAUUUGAGUUUUCAGGUUCUAAGAAAAUACUAGGUAAGGUUAUAAACCCGACUCUCAUUGAUAGAGAGUCCAACUCCAAUAAUCAAAAAGAGAACUUCAAUCCUGAUGAGGAAGUAAAUUAUAUGGAGAUUUCUUUUGUAGUUAAGAGUGAACCUAUAGAGGAGAUUGAGACACUCGAAGAGAUAAAGUGAUACGGACCCAGUUAGCACGGUCACUAUCGAACCCACAGAAAUUGACAUUAGAUCCCAAGAACACCCAAAUAUGACCAAGGUUUAGGAUCUAAUCCCCAAACGUUGAACCAAGCAACCGAAGGUAUAUUAAACCAACGAUCUCUUGAUCACAAAUUCUCAAAAUCACACCCAAAUUAUGGAUUUGAGCCAAUAUAAUAUGAACCAAAAACCAGCAAGAACGAUGCUUGAAAGACCCCUUGAUUACAUAAUCCAAAGAUUCAACCCGAUAUUUUGAACGUCACAAGAUAUCAAUUCUUAGUAAGUUUAGUAUUAUUGUUCCAUCAAGGAACAAAAUUGAAGUAAAGCUUCGAAGAGAAUUUUUAUUGAUUCAUGAAUAAAGACUUGUGAUUGUUACAAUGAAAAUAAUCUCCUAUAUAUUCUAAAAUCCUAGAAUAAUGAAAUAGAGAAAAAUAUAAUUAAGAAUCCUAAGAAUAUGGUUAAACAGUGCAUAAGAAUCCUAGAAAAUAUAAAGUUGCCAAAAACAAGUAUUUCCAUCAAAAUAGAACUUUCUCGCAAAAGGAAAGAUUUUCACACGAGAAUAUAUCUAUGCGGUCAUAUAGUAGAAAUCAAUGCAAUCGAAUAGAACAAACAUCCAGCUUCAAUUUUUGUCCUGCCCGAUAGUAUGCGGUUACAUGGCAUUUUGAGCUAUGUGGUUGAUAGUUCAAAACUUGACACCUCAUUUUUCUUGUGUAGAAUUUUGUGGCAAUUUCGAAUUGUACUCUUGGGCAAAAACCCGACACCCGAGCUGAAAGUUAUGCCUGUUUUAAUUCACGCUGCUCGUUUUUCUAUAUAUCUUCCAAAACCUGGAAACUAAUUCUCUUCGGCUCUAAAUCCCAACUUGUAAUACUUUAAUUAAUUAGAAAGAAAAGUCAAACAAAAAAAACUAUAAACAAUUAAAAAAAGGGAAGGCGGUGGAUAUAUAUAUAUAUAUAUAUGUCCACCACCAAAGUCUUGCAAAACCCAAUACUCUGUUUUGUUUCACAAUUUAGAGAGAGAGAAAAUGAGAGCAGGUAAAGAAAAAGGAAGAGAAAAGAGAAAGGAAAAAGAAGGAAAAAAAAUAGAAAAAUUUCCCCAACGUGUUAGGAAUUAAGUGCUCUAUACUAUUGGACUUGGAUUUCUCAAUUUUGAAAGGUAAGUAAAAAGUUACUUAUUGAAAGGUUGUGUUUGAUUUUAUAGUUGUUGGAUUGUUAGAUUAAAUUCAAUUUUAUUGAAGGGGUUACGUAUAAACUAUGAAAUUUAGUAAAAUGAAAGAAAAAUUAGUUUUAGUAAUUAAAGAGACUUUAGAAAUCACCUAAACGUAAAAUAAGUAAGUUUUGGUAUCGCCGAUUUAAUUAUUGAAAUUACUUAAAAUAGUUAAUUGUUGAUUUAAAAAUUAUAUUAUAUUUCAAGUGACGAUACAGACAUCAGGACAGUUUACCGAUCGAGUUGAUUUUGGCGUAUAUAGUUCUGUGAGUGAAAAACCUUAAACAUUUUUAAAGUAUUUAUAAAUUAAAUAUAUUAGUAAAGCAAGUGCAAUUAUGUGUUCGAUUUUAUGAUUAUUAAAGAAAUUUCUUUUAUUAUGAUCGAUACGAAAUUUCAAGGAUUAUUUAUGAUAUUGUGAAUUGGAAUAUGAGAUAUGAUAUUGAGAUCGGCCAAAAAAGUACCCAUUAUUACAUACUUCUUUUAGUUCACAAAGAGGUCUUGGCCGUGUUCUAUGCUACACGGAGGGUCUUGACUUGACAUUGGUCUUGAUCGUAUACAUAUAGUUCACAGAGGGGCAUUGGCCAUGUUCUAGAACUGAUUAUGAGAGAUAUUUGAGAUCGACUUUUGUUCACGGAGCGGGCCAAACGCCCAUGGCAAAAGUUCUUAGCUCGAGGGGCGGAUUAUAUAUUUCUGUCAGAAGGUACAUUUUUGGUGGAUUUUUUAGCACGUUUAAUGUGAUGAGAUUAUAGCAUGAUUAUCAGCCGAUGUUCAUAUCAUAAUUUUAAGAUGAUAUUUUAUGAUCUUAUGUGAAUAUUUCACGUUUUGGCUAUAAUUACACGAUGGUAGCUUGUGAAUUAUCAAAUGAUAUGAAUUUGAUUUUUAAUAAAAAUGUAUAAAUGUAUAAGUAUAUUUGUUUUGAACUUCUCCAUUCACUGAGCUAUCAACUCAUAUAUCUUUCUACGUUUUUCCUUAUCAGGCAACAGUUGAGAAUCUGGACAUCUUUUGGAGUUAAGCCUUGAUUUUGAAGUCAGAGCCACAUGAUAGAGUUUGUUAGUAUAAAUCACUUCAUAGAACAUGUAAUCAGUGUUUUGGGAUGCAUGUUCAUGUCUAGAUGUGAUUUUACAUCACUUGUAGAUAGUUAUGGGGCUCACUAUGUAUUUUAUAUCCAUAUGUACAUUUCAUUUUAUUUCUAGGUAAAGAUUGAGGUUUCGGCUUAUCUUUAUUGUGUUGUGUUGUAGUUUGGCAUUUGUGUGAAAUUGAUCACAGGUUGGUUAGCACUGUUUACAGGGGAGAUAAUGCCGAAAUUCUGUUAGAAAAAUGAUGUAUAAAAAAUGAUAUAUUGUACUUGUAGUAGCCUUAAUGGUGUG
RNAcentral lists this long non-coding RNA (13218 nucleotides) under Olea europaea (common olive). Its description in RNAcentral is "long non-coding RNA (OEUR_LNC009808)". Lineage: Eukaryota; Viridiplantae; Streptophyta; Magnoliopsida; Lamiales; Oleaceae. The record is from RNAcentral.